UACGAAGGGGGCUAGCGUUGCUCGGAUUUACUGGGCGUAAAGGGCGCGUAGGCGGUCAGCACAAGUCAGUUGUGAAAUCUCCGGGCUUAACUCGGAAGGGUCAACUGAUACUGUGCGACUAGAGUGCAGAAGGGGCAACUGGAAUUCUCGGUGUAGCGGUGAAAUGCGUAGAUAUCGAGAGGAACACCUGCGGCGAAGGCGGGUUGCUGGGCUGACACUGACGCUGAAGCGCGAAAGCUAGGGGAGCGAACGGG
Molecule: ribosomal RNA, 254 nt
Filed under: uncultured bacterium
Lineage: Bacteria
Description: partial 16S ribosomal RNA
Rfam family: Bacterial small subunit ribosomal RNA
Source: RNAcentral